Molecule: small nucleolar RNA, 138 nt
Organism: Tachyglossus aculeatus (Australian echidna)
Lineage: Eukaryota; Metazoa; Chordata; Mammalia; Monotremata; Tachyglossidae
Source: RefSeq, a predicted model, not a curated record
CCCCUCUCAGUUUCACACCUGGAGAGUUUCCAGUACUCUACCAGUCUCAGUUACAGGAGAGAGAGUCAAGCAGAGGCCUACCCUUUCUGUUUCUAGCUUGGGCCGUGGCUAGCAAGUGGAAGGCAAUCUGCUACAAGU